GUGAAUCAUCAAAUUUUUGAGCGCAAAUUGCACUCUCCUCGGAGAGUAUGCCUGUUUGAGGGUCAGCCUAAAAAAAAAAUCGACAUUGUUGCUGUUUUAUGGUGACUUUCGUCGGAGAUGGGUUAUCUUAAAUCUCGGUUUAAGCGACUUAAAAAUUUUUUUUAGAUUUUAAGAAUUUUUUUUAGUGUUUUUUUUUUCGUUUUA
Molecule: unclassified non-coding RNA, 204 nt
Filed under: Glomeraceae sp.
Lineage: Eukaryota; Fungi; Glomeromycota; Glomeromycetes; Glomerales; Glomeraceae
Description: partial contains 5.8S ribosomal RNA and internal transcribed spacer 2
Rfam family: 5.8S ribosomal RNA (bases 1-65)
Source: RNAcentral